RNAcentral lists this ribosomal RNA (922 nucleotides) under uncultured bacterium. RNAcentral's name for it is "bacterial SSU rRNA". It matches the Rfam family "Bacterial small subunit ribosomal RNA", at positions 37 to 949 of the family's 1533-position model. The record is from RNAcentral.
AACGGGGGUUCCAUUAACAUGCACGUCGGACGGUUGGGGUCUUCGGACGCUGACGAGUGGCGAACGGUCAUAGAAAUAGAGCGGAACGUGCCCAGUCGUGGGGGAUAACUUCUCGAAAGAGUAACUGAUACCGCCUACGAUCUGAGGAUGAAAGCGGGGGACCUUCGGGCCUCGCGCGAUUGGAGCGGCCGAUGGCAGAUUAGGUAGUUGGUGGGAUAAAAUCUUACCAAGCCGACGAUCUGUAGCUGGUCUGAGAGGACGACCAGCCACCCUGGGACUGAGACACGGCCCAGACUCCUACCGGAGGCAGCCGUGGGGAAUUUUGGACAAUGGGCGAAAGCCUGAUCCAGCUUUCCCCCGUGCAGGAUGAAGGCCUUCGGGUUGUAAACUGCUUUUGUACGGAACGAAAAAGCUUCUCCUAAUACGAGAGGCCCAUGACGGUACCGUACGAAUACCCACCGGCUAUCUUCGUGCCAACGGCCCCGGUAAUACGUAGGGUGCCAGCGUUAAUCGGAAUUACUGGGCGUAAAGCGUGCGCAGGCGGUUAUGUAAGACAGAUGUUGAAAUCCCCGGGCUCAACCUGGGAACUGCAUUUUGUGACUGCAUGGCUAGAGUACGGGAGAGGGGGAUGAGAAUUCCGCGUGUGGCAGUGAAAUGCGUAGAUAUGCGGAGGAACACCGAUGGCUAAUGCAAUCCCCUGGACCUUUACUGUCGCUCAUGCCGGAAUGCUCGCCGAGCAAACCGGGAUCAGAUAUCCUGGUAGUCCCCGCCCUAAACGAUGCCAGCUAGGUUUGUUGGGGAAUUACUUUUCUCAUUAACGAACCUAAUGCGUGAAGAUGGACCGCCUGGGGGAGGACGGCCUCAACGGUGAAACUCAAGGAUUUGUAUGGGAACCGCACCGGCUGGGGAUGAAGGUGUUUCU